Molecule: ribosomal RNA, 459 nt
Filed under: Streptomyces sp.
Lineage: Bacteria; Bacillati; Actinomycetota; Actinomycetes; Kitasatosporales; Streptomycetaceae
Description: bacterial SSU rRNA
Rfam family: Bacterial small subunit ribosomal RNA
Source: RNAcentral
AUCCUUGGUGAUCGAAGCUCCGGCGGUGCAGGAUGAGCCCGCGGCCUAUCAGCUUGUUGGUGAGGUAACGGCUCACCAAGGCGACGACGGGUAGCCGGCCUGAGAGGGCGACCGGCCACACUGGGACUGAGACACGGCCCAGACUCCUACGGGAGGCAGCAGUGGGGAAUAUUGCACAAUGGGCGCAAGCCUGAUGCAGCGACGCCGCGUGAGGGAUGACGGCCUUCGGGUUGUAAACCUCUUUCAGCAGGGAAGAAGCGCAAGUGACGGUACCUGCAGAAGAAGCGCCGGCUAACUACGUGCCAGCAGCCGCGGUAAUACGUAGGGCGCGAGCGUUGUCCGGAAUUAUUGGGCGUAAAGAGCUCGUAGGCGGCUUGUCGCGUCGGUUGUGAAAGCCCGGGGCUUAACCCCGGGUCUGCAGUCGAUACGGGCAGGCUAGAGUUCGGUAGGGGAGAUCGG